UUCUAGUAUAAUAAUCUGGUUUGUAACAUAUUAAGAAUAAUUAUAAAGAAAAAAUAUUCUUAAUUUUAUUCUUUCUUGCAAAAAAAUAUAAAAUAAUGGAUGAAUACCACAGAUGUAGGAUAAAAAAAUCUAGAACUGGUUUGUGAACGUGCGUACAUAGCUAUAGUCCAAUUUGGAAGAUCCGUAUAUUUAUACAUAUCUAGAUUAGGUAACUUAUUAUAAACAAAAUUAUUGAGAUAUUUAGAGCCACAUUACAAUACAGAUAGGCCUAAUUAAUUAAUAUACUUUUAGAUUAUUGAAAAUCAAUGACGUCAAAGGACUGAAUUUUUAUGGUAUCCUCUUUCAAAACCUAAAAACUUUAUGUAAAUUUUGACUAUUAUCAAUAGUUUAAGCGUCUGCAAAUGAGUUUGGCAACUUUUUGUAAAAUGUUUUUGAUAUGCAAAUAGAAAUGGCGCUUACGCGUGCCUUUUUUUUUAAAGGAAUAACACGUUUUUUAUGUAUACCGGACUAUAUCUCUAUUAUGAAAUCUUCUCCCUACCGAGUGAGCUACUGGUUUAAUCACUUAAUCUAGUGUCAAAGAUUUUUUAAAACCGCCUGACGGCCUCUGACAUGGAAUGAAAUGAAAAUUGUUAAAAUUUAAAUGUAUUUAUAUAAAGAAAAUAAUGUAAUUUUGUAUUUACUAUAUAUAUUAGCUUUACUUAGGCACUAUACACAUACACGGUUAUGUUUUAAUGCCUAUUUCACAAAUGAAUCCUGUCUUUUGCAUCAGAAUUCUAAUGUCAUCUGCUUUAUAGAUUGCACCCAAAAUUGCUACAUAAAAUAUAUACGUCAAAAGUUUGGCGAAAACUCUAUGUACAUUUAUUUAAAUAGUAAUACUGUUAUUGUUAUUGUACUUAUCACAAUAAUAAUAUAACUUUAACAGACUAUAAUUCACUGCGCUAUCUAGAUGCACUAAGUGCAGUUCUUUGUUAUUUGACAUUAUAAAUCAGGUUCAUUGACUUGCUUGUUGCUAAUAAACGCAACGCCUAGUCUAGCAACAGAAGUUAUUUCUAUUGCUUUUCGUUGCUAGGAAUAAAGAUCCAAUUUACUAUUAUUUAGGGAUUAAAAUAGGUUCCAAACUAUGGUCCAUAGAUUCAUUUUUUUUUUAAUAAAAACAUGAUUUAAAUCUUAGCUAUAAUUAACGCUUAUAUAAAAUAGUUCACAAUAUUAAUUAUUAAGUAAGUAUUAUACUAUUGUUUUACUGUAAGUCAAAAGAUUUCUAGAAAUUAUAGUAUUCUUAGUUAGUAUCAUCUUAGAAAUCUUAAAAUAUCACGUUAGAUGGAAAAACUGAAAAUUUUUAAAAAGGCCCAAGUUUAGCACAUCACUGUAACACAAGCUACCUGCGUCUGGGCACAGACGUCGGGCGGUCGUCGCCGUCUCGCUAGGGUAACGUUUUGGUCGCCACGACCUUGUCCGUCCGGCGUGCGCGCAGAUAACUGGGCUGUUGGCUUUGUGAUAAGCUUUUGCUUUUAGCGUUCUUUGAUGUUGUGUGUUAUGUGUACUUGAAAAUAAGAUUGUAUAUGAGUUCUUUUUUCUAAAUAUUUUAAAUACACAUUUGAAUUAAGUAGUUGUCAUACUUUUAGGUCCUAUAUUUAAAGACACAUACCUAAGUUAUAGUCUAUGCAUAUUUUCACUCAAACUUCUGUUGGUUGGUUACUAUAUAGUAUCUGGAAUAAAAAAUGUUAUAUUUUAAUUAAGUAUACCUUUUCCAAAACUCUAUUUACCUACCGAGUCCCAAGUUCACUGACAACUGUUUGUAAAAAAUUAUACAAUUUUCGAAUUAAAAGUUGUUUUAAGAAAGAAAAACGGAUUCUGUGACCGGUGAACUUGAGUCUAAGAAACUUACAUUAUUCAGAAUUUCUAUAAGUACUAAUACUAAAUUCGAAGUGUAUUACGAAAUAAAUAUAACGUAAUUUGGACGCUUCGUCUUGUUAGACAAUACAACAUCAUUUGCUUUGCAUACUACGUCAAUCUGUUGUUGUCACAUCUAGCAUUACUUAUAAUUUAUGUGUCUGUGUUUGUGUUGGUAAAAAUAAUUGUCUUCUCUUUGGUUUAGUUAGUUUAAUUUAGCUAAGUAGUUAUUAAGUUAUUUUGAAUCAUUUAUUUAAUUAUGAAAAAGAGAUUUAAAAGUAAGAAAAAAAAAAGCUUUUCUUUAAUUCAAGUAUUUAAGUACUAGUUACAUACUUACAUUGUUUAUCAGCUGACAAAAUACAAAUAAUUUCAUGAUUUAAUAUAAAGUAAAAUAAUGAAAAAAUAUUAUUAAUGUACAAACUAAAUAACGUCAUUGUCUGUUAUUUUAAUUCAAUAAAAUGUCCAACCAGAGUCUGUUACGAUGUCAAAAAACAUAUUGCGGGUCAAUUGAACACUGACAAAUUAUAAAAAAAGUGUUAUUAUAAUUUAUAUCUUGGUAUAAAAAUAUCUGAUACAUACUUUUUUGACACGGCAGAUGAUGAUAAUUUUUUUGAUCAUGUAUCAGAAACUGUGAAGAAUCAUUAAUUAAAGUUUUCGAGUUUUUUUUUAAACGUAAAGCUACGAUACACACUUUUUAUUGAUCUGAUGCCAUUACUGUCUAUAACAUUUUUUUUUAUUAAUAAAUAAAUUAAUGUGAUUUUAAUAUAACAUAAUAACUUAAUAAAAAUGAUAGAAAUUUUGAUAGCUGUAUUUCAUAAUAUAAUUCAUAAAAUAUUAUGAUCAAUAACAACAUAAAUAUGUAUGUUUAAUUUAUAUAUUAUUUUGUAUAAAUAGAUAAUAUUUUGUAAAAUUUUGUAGAUACUUGAUAUUUUUGUGCCAGGGUGUUCUGAUUUUUCAACAGGUUCUAAAUUCUACUUAUUUUGGGCAGAAUCAGUAAGAAGCAGGAAUAUGAAAAUCGUCCAGUUUGGAAAAAUUGUAAUAUGUACCUAGGUAAGGUCAUCAAAACUAAAUUACUAUUUCUUUUUUAUAAGUCCACCUCAACCUUCAAUUACGAUUAACUAUAAAAUAGAGCCUACCACUACUAAUUUGUGAAAUAACUGGUUUAAUAGCAAAUCUAAAAAAAUAUAAAAAUGUUAUCACAUUACCAGCGUCAGUAAAUAAUUAAUUUAUGUUGCCAAAACCUGAAUAUUAAUGGCACGCUUUGAAAUAGGCCCAAUAAAUUAAUUUUGACGCAAUUCCGUGUAAGCACUUAAUAUAGCCACAUCAGUUUUUUAUAAUGCAUGAUAAAUGUCAAGAUAAUAAUUAUUUUAUCUAUUUAUAUUGAUUUCCUUAUUAUUUUAUUUUUAACUUUUUUAUCUUUUUGAGUUUUGAGGCAUAACAAUGUUUUUCAUUUCCGCACCAAAAGUAGCAAUGUUUGGUAAAGACUAGACACUAGCACAUCAAGUUACUACAAUAUAUUUAAUUUAAACUUUAUCCCUAAAGUAUAAGAUACAAUAUUGUUCGGAAAAUUAUAUAGAUUGGAAAAGCUUGAUAUGCUGGACUGGACUGAAAAUGAAAAGACUUAUUCUUUAACGGAAGCAGAUGCUAACACUCAUUAUGACCUUUCAUCAUCACCUUCAUGAAUCUUUAUUUCUUUGGGGAAGUGACAUCAUCUUUGCAGGAUCCAUAUCAAGGUUCGGUGAUGACGGUCUACUGGCUCAUGCUUCAUCCUAGAAAAAAUAACGAGUGACGGCAACAAGGGUUUGGAGCCAAACACAGAAGACAAGAGAGGUGAAAAUCCGGUGAGAGGCGUCUACUGCUGCCACUGCUGGGCACUUAGUAAAACUUAGCAUCUUCCGUAUCCAAGCGGUGGGCGUCGGACCACUCGACCUUGUGCUCGAGACAACCCUGGCACCACGACAAGCGAUUUCACCUCACCACCACCGAGUGUAGCGGACCACACCACAUACAUUACUGGCUAUGUAUGUGCACACCGAACUAUCGCUGGUCAAACACAGCGAUGUAUAUCAAACAACGCUUGAGCCCGUCCGUUGUUCGCGCUCGGUAUCCGACGCGCGCCUCCAGUCUCGUUUGCCAAUUUCGCGCACAAGUUCAUCGACUCUUCACAAGGAUGCAUGAAUCAAGUGUAAUGAUACGAUACGGCAUCGCCGCUUGUUCCGACCGGACGGUUGCCGCAUUGUUUUAGGAACACUGACCUGAAUUAACAUUGUUUAAUGUUGUAUAGAAUUCAAUGAGUUGUGUAAAUUGUAGCUUUUUAUUUAUACAAUUAGGUACAAUCAAACUUUUUGGCGGUAAAUGAACUUUGUUUAGCGAAGGCGUUGUAUAGAAAAACAUUGUAAAUAAAUAUUAUAUGUUUUACUGUAA
Long non-coding RNA from Helicoverpa zea (corn earworm), 4314 nucleotides. RefSeq lists it as uncharacterized. NCBI's taxonomy places the organism in Eukaryota, Metazoa, Arthropoda, Insecta, Lepidoptera, Noctuidae. The transcript has 2 exons. The record is from RefSeq and is a predicted model, not a curated record.